GGAGAGAUGGCCGAGUGGUCGAAGGCGCUCCCCUGCUAAGGGAGUAUGCGGGCUUAAACCUGCAUCGAGGGUUCGAAUCCCUCUCUCUCCGCCA
This 94-nucleotide transfer RNA is filed under the name Betaproteobacteria bacterium RBG_16_58_11. RNAcentral describes it as "tRNA-Ser". It matches the Rfam family "tRNA". Rfam says of the family: Transfer RNA (tRNA) molecules are approximately 80 nucleotides in length. Their secondary structure includes four short double-helical elements and three loops (D, anti-codon, and T loops). Further hydrogen bonds mediate the characteristic L-shaped molecular structure. tRNAs have two regions of fundamental functional importance: the anti-codon, which is responsible for specific mRNA codon recognition, and the 3' end, to which the tRNAs corresponding amino acid is attached (by aminoacyl-tRNA synthetases). tRNAs cope with the degeneracy of the genetic code in two manners: having more than one tRNA (with a specific anti-codon) for a particular amino acid; and 'wobble' base-pairing, i.e. permitting non-standard base-pairing at the 3rd anti-codon position. RNAcentral also lists the same sequence under 8 other names. The record is from RNAcentral. Lineage: Bacteria; Pseudomonadati; Pseudomonadota; Betaproteobacteria.